Molecule: long non-coding RNA, 20680 nt
Filed under: Citrus sinensis (sweet orange)
Lineage: Eukaryota; Viridiplantae; Streptophyta; Magnoliopsida; Sapindales; Rutaceae
Description: long non-coding RNA (CSIN_LNC005086)
Rfam family: Plant small nucleolar RNA R71 (bases 12275-12381)
Source: RNAcentral
UCCACCCGCAGACCAAGUCAAGUCAGUUAUAACUCUUCGUAGUGGUAAGGUUGUUGAUAGACCUAUGCCUGAACCUUGUGAAAAUGAUGAAAAUUCAAAGGGUAAGGAAGGACUAAAUGAACUUACACCUAGUGAAGAAAUAACUAGUGUUCCACCUUAACCACCAUUUCCGCAUGCAUUGAAUAAACCAAGGAAAUCAAACCACUCUUCUGAAAUUUAUGAAAUCUUUAAGCAAGUGAAAGUUAACAUUCCUCUAUUAGAUGCAAUCAAGCAGGUACCUUCAUAUGCCAAAUUUUUAAAAGACUUGUGCAUUGUUAAAGAGGAAAUUGAAGGUCAGAAAUAGUGCUUUCAUGGCCGAACAGGUAAGUACAAUUAUGUCUACUAAUAAUAAGUUAAAAUAUAAAGAUCCUGGUUGUCCUACCAUUUCUUGUAUUAUUGGUAAUCACAUAAUUGAGCAUGCUUUACUAGAUCUUAGUGCUAGUGUUAAUUUGCUUCCAUAUUCAGUUUAUCUUUAACUUAAUCUUGAUGAGUUAAAAUCAACUUCAACUACACUUUUGCUUGCCGAUAGAUCAGUUAAAGUACCAAAAGGAAUAGUGGAAGAUGUUUUAGUACAAGUUGAUAAAUUCAUAUACCAUGUGGAUUUUAUUGUCUUGGAAACUGAACCUGUUGUGAAUAAUUACAAACCAAUUCCUAUAAUUUUAGGUCGACCAUUUUUAGCAACUGCUAAUGCUUUGAUUAAUUGUAGGAAUGGUUUAAUGAAUUUAUCUUUUGGGAAUAUGACUUUGGAAUUGAAUGUUUUCAACAUGUACAGGCAACCUAAUGAAGAAAAUGAGAAUGAAGAUGAUACUGAUGAUAAAAAGAAUUGCUUGAAUCUUGUAUUGAGGAAAAUAUUCAAAAAGGGGAAUUUUCUGAACUCUUUGAUGUUUGUUUAGUUAAUUCAAUUGAGUCAAAUAAGCAACUUGAACUUAAUAUUUCUAAUAUAAAUUCGUUGCUUGAUUCUGUGCAGACUUCACAAAAUUAUGAUGACGAGCCAAAAUUUGAGGAGCUUGGAAGUAUUGAAAAGACAGAACAACAAGAAGCACUUAAACUGGAAUUGAAACAUUUGCCUGAAGGAUUGAAGUAUGCUUUUCUUGGAGAAGAACAAACUUAUCCUGUUGUGAUUUCUUCUACUUUAACAAGCGACCAAGAAGGUAAGUUACUAACUGUUCUUAAAAAGCAUAAAAAUGCAAUUGGAUGGACUUUAAAUGAUAUUAAAGGCAUUAAUCCCUUAAUAUGCACACAUAGAAUUAAUUUGGAAGAAAAUGCUAAAACAUGUCAACAACCUCAAAGAAGAUUAAACCCACACAUGAGAAGUCCUUAAAUUUCUUAAUGUGGGAAUUAUCUACCCUAUUUCUGAUAGUAAGUGGGUAAGUUCUACACAAGUAGUGCCUAAAAAAUCUGGAAUCACUGUUGUUAAAAAUGAAAAAGGUGAAUUAAUUCCAACACAAAUUACAUCUAGUUGGCGCAUGUGCAUUGAUUAUAGAAAGUUAAAUGAAGCCACUAGAAAAGAUCAUUUUCCAUUACCAUUCCUUGACCAAAUCGUAGAAAGAGUAGCAGGACAUCCCUACUACUGUUUUUUAGAUGGAUAUUCAAGUUAUUAUCAAAUUCCUAUAGCACUUGAGGACCAAGAAAAUACCUCAUUUACAUGUCCUUUUGGGACAUUUGCAUUUAAAAGAAUGUCAUUUGGGCUUUGUAAUGCUCCUGCAACAUUUCAAAGAUGUAUGUUAAGCAUUUUUUGUGAUAUGGUUGAACAUUGUUUAGAGGUCUUUAUGGAUGAUUUAACUGUGUUUGGGAAUUCUUUUGAUGAUUGCCUUGAUAAUUUGGAGAAAGUUUUGAGAAGAUGUGUUGAAAAAGAACUCGUGUUGAAUUAGGAAAAAUGUCACUACAUGGUUACUUCUGGAAUUGUUUUGGAUCAUGUUGUUUCUGUUAAAGGAAUUGAAGUUGAUAAAGCAAAAAUUUAAUGUCAUUUGGGCUUUGUAAUGCUCAUGCAACAUUUCAAAGAUGUAUGCUAAGCAUUUUUUGUGAUAUGGUUGAACAUUGUUUAGAGGUCUUUAUGGAAGAUUUAACUGUGUUUGGGAAUUCUUUUGAUGAUUGCCUUGAUAAUUUGGAGAAAGUUUUGAGAAGAUGUGUUGAAAAAGAACUCGUGUUGAAUUAGGAAAAAUGUCACUACAUGGUUACUUCUGGAAUUGUUUUGGAUCAUGUUGUUUCUGUUAAAGGAAUUGAAGUUGAUAAAGCAAAAAUUGAAUCAUAUCUAAAUUGCCACAACCAAAAACAGUUAGAGAUGUGCGAUCUUUUUUAGGACAUGCAGGAUUUCAUAGGAGGUUUAUAAAAAACUUUAGUGUUAUAUCUAAACCACUUUGUAACCUCUUAUUAAAAGAUGCACCGUUUGACUAGAAUGAUGAUUGCCAAAAAUCUUUUGAGAAAAUAAUUUGUCUUUUAACAUCUGCACCUAUUAUGCAAUCUCUUGAUUGGUUUUUGCCCUUUGAAUUAAUGUGUGAUGCAAGUGAUUUUACUGUUGGUGUUGUUUUAGGAUAAAAAAGGGAUGGUAAGCCUUUUGUGAUUUAUUAUGCGAGUAAGACUUUGGAUAGUGCUCAAAUGAAUUAUUCUACAACUGAAAAAGAAUUACUUGCUGUGGUAUUUUCAUUAAACAAAUUCCGUUCAUAUUUGCUUGGCUUUAAAUCUGUUGUGUUUAUUGACCACGCUGUUAUGAGAUAUUUGAUGAGUAAACAGGAUGCCAAACCGAGACUAAUUCGUUGGAUUUUGUCUUUGAAUUAAUGCGUGAUGCAAGUGAUUUUGAUGUUGGUGUUGUUUUAGGACAAAGAAAUGAUGAUAAGCCUUUUGUGAUUUAUUAUGCAAGUAAGACUUUGGAUAGUGCUCAAAUGAAUUAUUCUACAACUGAAAAAGAAUUACUUGCUGUGGUAUUUUUGCUGUGGUAUUUGCAUUAAACAAAUUCCGUUCAUAUUUGCUUGGCUCUAAAUCUAUUGUGUUUGAUGACCACGCUGCUGUGAGAUAUUUGAUGAGUAAACAGAAUGCCAAACCGAGACUAAUCUGUUGGAUUUUGUUACUUCAAGAAUUUGACCUUACCAUCAAAGAUAAAAAGGGUGCUGAAAAUGUCGUUGCUGAUCAUCUAUCAAGACUCACAUCCGAAUUCUGCAAUGAUAUAACACCCAUCAAUGAUUCUUUCCCUGAUGAAUUUUUAUUUUCUAUUACUUCAAUGCCAUGGUAUGCUAACAUUGUUAAUUUUCUUGUUACAGGUAAAAUGCCUUUGCAAUGGAAUGCUCAAGAGAAGAAGAAAUUUUUUGUUGAAGUAAAGAAAUUUUAUUGGGAUGAUCCUUAUUUGUUCAAAUAUUGCUCAGAUCAAAUUUUUCGGCGAUGUAUUCUUGAUAAUGAGGUAAGUAGUGUCAUUAAUUUUUAUCAUUCUGAAGCAUGUGGUGGCCACUUUUCGUCAAGAAAAACUACUGCUAAACUUUUGCAGUGUGGAUUUUAUUGGCCUACCAUGUUCAAAGACACAUGAAUUUUGCAAAACUUGUGAAAAAUGUCAAAAAUUGGGAUCAAUUACAAAAUGAAACAUGAUGCCCUUAAAUCCCAUACUUGAAAUUGAAAUAUUUGACUGUUGGGGAAUUGAUUUCAUGGGUCCGUUUCCAUCAUCUUUUGGAUUUGUGUAUAUAUUAGUUGCAGUUGAUUAUGUCUCCAAAUGGAUUGAAGCAAUUUCUUGUCGAAAUAAUGAUAGUAAAACUGUGGUUAAAUUUUUAAGAGAAAACAUUUUAAGUCGAUUUGGAAUCCCUCGAGCCAUUAUCAGUGAUGGAGGUAAGCAUUUUUGUAAUAAGUCAUUUGACUCUUUAAUGAAGAAAUAUGGAAUUACACAUAAAGUUGUUACCCCUUAUCAUCCUCAAACAAAUGGUCAAGUUGAAUUAGCAAAUAGGGAGAUAAAACAAAUUUUGGAAAAAACUGUUAACCCAAACCGAAAAGAUUGGUUUCUUAGACUUAAUGAUGCACUUUGGGCCUACCGUACUGCAUUUAAAACGUCAUUAGGAAUGUCACCCUAUCGGUUAGUUUAUGGUAAACCUUGUCAUUUACCUAUUGAACUUGAACAUAAAUCACUUUAGGCUAUUAAAGCUUUUAAUUCAAAUUUGGAUGAUGCUGGUAAUGUGCGAAAAUUACAAUUGAAUGAACUUGAGGAAUUAAGGAAUGAUACAUAUGAAAAUUUAAGAAUUAUUAAGGCAAGAACAAAAGCAUUUCAUGAUAAAAGAAUUUUUCAAAAAACAUUUGAGAUUGGUCAAAAAGUGUUGCUUUAUAAUUCUCGUCUUCAUUUAUUUUCAGGAAAGUUAAAGUCAAAAUGGAGUGGCCCAUUUGUUGUAAAAAAUGUAUAUUCAUAUGGGGCCAUAAAAAUUGAGAAUCCAAAGAACGAUGUCACAUUUAAAGUUAAUGGUCAAAGAUUAAAACCAUAUCUAGAACAUCACCCACGUGACGAGGACACCGAAAUUAAUUUGGGUGACCCACCAGUUCUUGAUUAAGUCUUUAAUGACUGAUUUUUUUUUGUGUUUUACUAUUAUUUUGCCGUUUCAUUGUUUGAUUUUUUUUUCUCUAGAUUGAUGCACUAUACAUAAUUUUUUUAGCAUUAUUUUUCUUGUUUAAGCGUGUUUGUUUGACAAUUGUUCAUUCUCUCAUCAAUUUUCAUUAUUCAUCAUGAGUACUUCAAUAAGAAACUUCUUUUUCACACAUCUUAAAAGACUUAUACGAGGGAGAUUUAAUAUGAGAAGAUUGAUACAAAGCUAUAAAUCACAUCCACUUUGGGAUCUGCAACCACAGAAUUCGUGUCCUAUGUUGAGGAUCUAGAAGGACAACUUAGAGAAAUAGAGCGUGGUAUAUAUGAAUUUCAAUUAGAUCUUGAGGUUAACUCAAUGAGAGGACGAAUGUAAGUUCAUUUUCCUUUUUACAUUGUGUGUUUAUUUUUGUUGUUCGCCUUCACGUUUGAUUUGAUUUUGCAGCUUUGAUUUUGGUGUAUUUUGGUUUAUUUUCCCGUAUAAAUGGCGUAAGUCGGUAUUAUUGAAGCAAGGUCCGAUUAGCAGGUGAGUUUUCUGAUCCAUAUUAUUUUACUUCACUAUUAUUUUAUCAUUUGCAUUAUUGCAUUUAGUGGUGUGAUUUUGUAUUUAAUAAAUAUUUGUUUUCUUUUACUAUUUGCUUUUGAAUUAUUGAGCCACGAGCUUUACUCGUCAUUUGACAAAUAUGCCAACCCAUUUACAGCUGUUUCUCAUUAUUUCUGUCACCAAGAUCUUUAAAUAUGAGCUCGCUUUUCAAAAACUCACAACUUGUUUUUGAAAGAUUAGUCCAAUGGCAGCAUCUUCGAGUAAACAAUUCAAAAAUAUUUGUAUGUUUUCUGGGUUUCACUAUGGAAAGUACAAAGAGUUUGUUCAGGCAGCAGUAGAUCUUGGUCGUGUCAUAGCAGAGAGGAAACUGCAUCUUGUAUAUGGAGGAGGUGAAUGAGGGUUAUCCAGACUUGUCUCAGAAGCUGUUUUUACUAGAAAAAGCCAAGUACUAGGCAUUAUCCCAAAAGCCAUGAAACCGCUAGUGUGCAUGUCUGGCCCACCAAUUGGAGAAGAAUUAGUGGUAUCAAGUAUGCAAGAGAGAAUAUCUGAAAUGAUGAAUCAUGCUGAUGCUUUUAUUUUCUUGCAGUGGCCCAUUUGUUGUAAAAAAUGUAUAUUCAUAUGGGGCCAUAAAAAUUGAGAAUCCAAAGAACGAUGUCACAUUUAAAGUUAAUGGUCAAAGAUUAAAACCAUAUCUAGAACAUCACCCACGUGACGAGGACACCGAAAUUAAUUUGGGUGACCCACCAGUUCUUGAUUAAGUCUUUAAUGACUGAUUUUUUUUUGUGUUUUACUAUUAUUUUGCCGUUUCAUUGUUUGAUUUUUUUUUCUCUAGAUUGAUGCACUAUACAUAAUUUUUUUAGCAUUAUUUUUCUUGUUUAAGCGUGUUUGUUUGACAAUUGUUCAUUCUCUCAUCAAUUUUCAUUAUUCAUCAUGAGUACUUCAAUAAGAAACUUCUUUUUCACACAUCUUAAAAGACUUAUACGAGGGAGAUUUAAUAUGAGAAGAUUGAUACAAAGCUAUAAAUCACAUCCACUUUGGGAUCUGCAACCACAGAAUUCGUGUCCUAUGUUGAGGAUCUAGAAGGACAACUUAGAGAAAUAGAGCGUGGUAUAUAUGAAUUUCAAUUAGAUCUUGAGGUUAACUCAAUGAGAGGACGAAUGUAAGUUCAUUUUCCUUUUUACAUUGUGUGUUUAUUUUUGUUGUUCGCCUUCACGUUUGAUUUGAUUUUGCAGCUUUGAUUUUGGUGUAUUUUGGUUUAUUUUCCCGUAUAAAUGGCGUAAGUCGGUAUUAUUGAAGCAAGGUCCGAUUAGCAGGUGAGUUUUCUGAUCCAUUUGUUUCUUACAUGCCUAGUUUUGGUAAAAGUACGUUUGCUAAGAAAAGAAGAGCUAAAUGACUUGGCUCAAAAUGUCAUUACUGUGUAAGACUUGGUUGCAAACGAGAAGUUUGUAAAUCUUUAGGAAUGGUGUCUGAUACUCGUGAAGAUAAAAUUAAAUUCGUUAAAGAUGGCCUGAGUAAAGAAUCAUUGGAUGAUAUCUUACGAUCUCUUGAGACGUAUCGUAGCGGACAUGUGCAAUAUGAGAUAUACAAGUUAUGGAGACUAUUCUAAACACAAAGUUCACAGUUUAGUCUUGGGAAUCUGACUCAAAAAGACCAUAUUUGCCAGUUUAUAAGAAAACUGGAUGGGAAGCCUAUCCUUGACCCAUAGAGGGCGUUCAAGCCGUUACUGGACGUAAAACCAGAGGAAUAUGUGAGCCACAAUCACAACUACCAGUAAAUAUCCUUUUACUUCACUAUUAUUUUACUUCACUAUUAUUUUAUCAUUUGCAUUAUUGCAUUUAGUGGUGUGAUUUUGUAUUUAAUAAAUAUUUGUUUUCUUUUACUAUUUGCUUUUGAAUUAUUGAGCCACGAGCUUUACUCGUCAUUUGACAAAUAUGCCAACCCAUUUACAGCUGUUUCUCAUUAUUUCUGUCACCAAGAUCUUUAAAUAUGAGCUCGCUUUUCAAAAACUCACAACUUGUUUUUGAAAGAUUAGUCCAAUGGCAGCAUCUUCGAGUAAACAAUUCAAAAAUAUUUGUAUGUUUUCUGGGUUUCACUAUGGAAAGUACAAAGAGUUUGUUCAGGCAGCAGUAGAUCUUGGUCGUGUCAUAGCAGAGAGGAAACUGCAUCUUGUAUAUGGAGGAGGUGAAUGAGGGUUAUCCAGACUUGUCUCAGAAGCUGUUUUUACUAGAAAAAGCCAAGUACUAGGCAUUAUCCCAAAAGCCAUGAAACCGCUAGUGUGCAUGUCUGGCCCACCAAUUGGAGAAGAAUUAGUGGUAUCAAGUAUGCAAGAGAGAAUAUCUGAAAUGAUGAAUCAUGCUGAUGCUUUUAUUUUCUUGCUAGGAGAUCUUGCAACUUUUGAGGCACUGAUUACGUUUGCAUCUUGGGCCCACUUGAACAUUUAUAAAAAACCCAUCGGUUUGUUAAAUGUUAAUAAUUUUUAUGAUGGCUUUCUAACUUUUAUUAACAAUGCAAUAAAGAAUCAUUUUGUUCCAUAUUCUGUAAAAAAACUCUUUAUCUCUGCUUCUACUACUAAUGAGUUACUUGAUCUUUUACAAGCUUAUACACCAGAGCCAGAUCCAAAGACUUUUGCACUGAAUUGGUCGACUGAUGAUGGUAGCGGUAACAGUAGCAGUAAUAAAAAGUACGAAUUAGAUUUAACUCUCCGUCUGUAAAUAUUUUAUGUUGCAGUGUUUAUGUACCGUCUUCUAAACUCUUUCUCUUUCCUUUUAAAACAUUGAGGACAAUGUCUUUUUCAGGUUGGGGGGAGGGAAUAGUUGAUAAUUGUGGAAUGUCUUAGUCCUAGUGAUGCUUUUACAAAUUUUUUUCCUGUAAAGACUAACUUUGGACUAAAUUUGAGUAGAAGAUGGCAGGAUAUGGAGAGUGCAGUACCUUUAGAAACGCAUCUUCUUAAAUUAGGGUUGACUAACUUAGGACAAAUUUGAGUCGAAGAUGGCAGGAUAUAGAGAAUGUAGUACCUCUAGAAACGCAUCUUCUUAAUCUUAAGAGUGUUGUUUAAAAAAAAAUUGACUUUUUCUUGUUCUUUGUUAUAUGCUUUUAAGCUUCUACAUCAAGUUCAGGUGAGAUCUCCUCCUCUUCUUCUUUUAUUAUUCUCCUUUAUUAUUAUUAUUAUUAUUUUUUGCAUAUUUGUAAAAUUAUAAAAUGUUAAGAUAAUGUUUAGAUUAGGUUGGGGGGUGGGGAGAGUUGACGUAUGUUUUUAAAUACGUGUGUUGUUUUUCUUUUUUUCUUUUCUUUUCUUUGUUUAAAAAAAACCCAAAAAAAAAAAUUAUUUUUGUCUAGGAUGGCUGUGCAAAGAGUCACGACUUUUGAGACGCAUCCUAAUAGUCUUGUUGUAUUAUAUUUUGAUUUUGAAAUUCAUAGUAAAUUGUUUUUAUUCCCUUUUCUUUGAAUUACUCGAAUUUGUGAACUCUCCACUUGGUUAUUAAAUUAUUUAAUUGUUUACUCAUUUAACAGGUAUUAUUGAAUCAUUCUUCACACACACACUAUGACACAUACUAGUGGGUUGGAAGUUAAAAUUUUACAGCAUUUAGUUCUUUUGAUUUAUUAGGAAUAGUAUCUAAGGUAGUAGAAAGUGUAUAUUGCAAAAAAACAAAAACAAAAAAAAAAACAAAAGAAGAAGAAAAAAAAAAGAAAAAAAUGUUUUAUUUUUUUUAUUUUGCUAUAUCUAGAACCCGAGUAAUUAAGUCAGUAAGGGUGUUUCAACACCUAGUGCCCUAAGGUCAACUGGUCUGGGAGUCACUGGCCUAAAGCUUGCUACAUGGGUAAUAGAUAUAUUGUUUGUUUAUUAGAAACCUGAGUAAUUAAGUCCGUAGGGGUGCUUCAACACCUAGUGCCUUAAGGCCAACUGGUCUGGGAGUCACUGACCUAAAACUCGCUACACGGGUUAGAAAUGUAAUAUUUUAAAAAUAUGUGUGAAUAAUCUACUGCCUAAAGAUAGAAUUUCUAAUCAAAAACAAAAAAAAAAACAAAAGAAGAAGAAAAAAAAAAGAAAAAAAUGUUUUAUUUUUUUUAUUUUGCUAUAUCUAGAACCCGAGUAAUUAAGUCAGUAAGGGUGUUUCAACACCUAGUGCCCUAAGGUCAACUGGUCUGGGAGUCACUGGCCUAAAGCUUGCUACAUGGGUAAUAGAUAUAUUGUUUGUUUAUUAGAAACCUGAGUAAUUAAGUCCGUAGGGGUGCUUCAACACCUAGUGCCUUAAGGCCAACUGGUCUGGGAGUCACUGACCUAAAACUCGCUACACGGGUUAGAAAUGUAAUAUUUUAAAAAUAUGUGUGAAUAAUCUACUGCCUAAAGAUAGAAUUUCUAAUGAAUUUUGGAACGAAAAUGUUGUUUUUCUUUUAAUGAAGCCCCAUAAGUAUUGUGUUAAUUACUUGAGCACAAAAGAAGGUUUGAUGAUAUUCUGGAUAAUGAGUGAAUAUCAAUGUUGUAAAGAAAUUUGGGAGAGUUCAUUUAUUUAGUAGUUUAGAGGAUAGAUGAACAACUAUUAACUUGCAUGUGAAUUUUAUAAAUCUUAAUUUAAUAUAACGCUUUAAUUGCUAGAGGGCUAGCAAUAAGCUGGUUGGGGGGUGUGAUUAGUAUUAAAAAUUGUUUAAUUAUCAAGCGAUAAUAAUAUAUUAGAAAUUAUUAAUUAUGUUUUAAAUAAAUUUAAUUUUGUGUAUUUUUAUGUGUUUAUUAGGAAAUAUAUUAAUUUCACGGAAUUCGAGGCUCCAAACAGAUAAACGGAGGUCAAAUUUGGAUUUCGGAGGUCUGGAAACCUUAAGAUCAGUCAAGAUCGGCUUAAAAUUGGGCUUGUGUAAAAAAAGUUGACUUUUUCUGUUGACCGAGCACUGAUUGGAUGAUGAAAUGAGCUUACAAUAGAUAUGAGUGCAUGGGAUAUCUGGUAAUUUUGACUAAAUCUCAACCAUUCAUGAUUCAAUGGCCAUGAUUGUGCCACGUGGCAAUGGUUAGUGAAGCAAGUUGUAGGAUCCGAAUCUUUGUAUACGGGUCGACCCGAUCCACUCAUUAACCCGCCAAAUCUCAACCGUUCUUUGGAUAAAUCAAACAAGUCAAAUGAUGCCACAAAUUCUGUCAAUCUCCCUGUAAUCUUGAUUUUCAGGUGUGUUUAUAAUAUUUUCUAUAAUUAUUUUUAUAAAUAAAAUUAGUUUUAUUUCCAAUUUAAAAUUUGGAUUUAUUGUAGACAAACAAAUGAAUUUGGCACAAUAAAUUCUUAAUAUCUUAAUAUACUGCUGUACCGUACAUCCGCCUUGGCCGUACAGAUAUAAGGCAUGGUGAAAUGGUAUUUUGACUUAUUGUAGACAAAUUAAAUUUUGACACAAUAAAUACUUAAUCCAUCAUAAAAUUAAAGGGAAAAUAAUAAUAAUUUACAAUUAAUCUUUUGGGAAAUAAAUCUAAAAAAAAAGGUAAAAAGAAUUUAUUAAGUUUUAUUUACUUCUAAGAGUGGAUCCAUAACCCUAACUAGCUCAAUUUCAUAGUUUCAUUUAAAUUAAGUUGUUUAUAUUUAAGUUUUAAUUUCAAUUUNNNNCAUAGUUUCACAUAAAUUAAGUUGUUUAUAUUUAAGUUUUAAUUUCAAUUUCAUUUUUUAGAUAAAAUAAAAUAAAUAAAUUAAAUCUUUUCUCUAAGGAUCGACCUCGGACUCAUUGAGCUAUAAUAUAAUAAGAUACUCUUAUAUUUGGGAGUUAAAAAUUACUUUUAAUUUAUGGGCCUAACUUCUCAAACUCUCAAUUGCUUGAACAUUGAUAAAGGUAUAAAAUUAAUGCUAGCCCCCAUAUCACAAAGUGCCUUACCAUUGUACUUAGUUCCUAUGGAAUUUGGGAUUGUGAAACUCCUUGGAUCUUUCAACUUCUGAGGAAUUUUGUUUUGAAGCAUAUGGCUACAUUCUUGUGUUAGAGCAACAGUUUCUAACUCUCCAAGCCUUUUUUUCUUUACCAAAAUACCUUUUAAGAACUUCACAUAAUUUGGCAUUUGUUCUAGGGCUUCCACAAGAGGAAUAUUAAUAUGUAGUUACUUUACACUUCCAAGAAUUUGCUGAAUUGCUUAUCUUACUCUUGCUUUUAGAAUCUUUAAGGGAAAGAUGAUGGGUAUCUGAACUAUUGUGCUAUUGUAGGCUGUACAGACUACUUCUUUUUUGCCAUGUUAUGGGCUGAUGUGGAUGGUGUUGUGGGAUCUUUACCAUCAUGUGGUGGAUCAUCAUUUUCUGUAGAUAUUGUAACUUGGCUAUUCACACCAGUGGGUCGGAAAGUAGGUUGUUGUGGCUCUUUUUCAAAUUGAGUUUCUUCUUGGGCUAAAAUGGGUUCAACGCUUCUUUUUGUGCACCAACUGAAAUAUAAACAUUAUUUCUAGGCCUUAAAUUAAUCACCUUGUAUUGUUCCUUUCCUUCUCAUCUUGGAUCCUCUGUAUUGUUGGGUAAACUACCCUGAGGUCUGUUACUCAAUGUUGUAACAAGCUAUCCAAUCUGAUUUUCAAAGUUUCUUAAGGAUACAACUUAACUCUGAACUACUGCUUCACUUUUCACAAUGUACUCUUUGAUCAAAGCUUCAAGAGAACUGAGUUGAUUAUUGUUGGUGCUUCUUUGCCUUUAAUUUUGUUGGUGAAAUCCAGGUGGUUGAGCAUGCCUAUUUUGUCCACUGGAUGCUGCAACAUUAUGGUUUUAAUUGCUCCAUGAGAAGUUUGGGUGCUGUCUCCAUCCAAGAUUAUUUUGAUUCUAUCUAUUGAAGUUACCCACAUAGUUAACUGAUGCUGGAUUUCCAAGACAAUUGUCAAAUAAAUGCCCUUUUCCACAAUAAACACAAGAGACCUCAUGUAACUUGGUUAACAGUUGCUGGAGCAGUAGUCACAACUUUCACCAUAUUUGUUAAUGAGGUUACUUGGGCUGAUAAUGUUGUCAAGGCGUCUACAUUAUGGAUUCCUUCUGCUCCUCUUGCUGCAGCUUCUUGGUAGAUGGCCACUUAUAAUUAUUUUUGCUAUCCUUUCCAAAAUUUCAUAAGCCUCAUUAUAAGACAUAUAUAACAAGGCUCCAAUUGCUGAAGCGUCCACCAUUAAUCUAGUGCUUGGAUUAAGAUCAUUGUAAAAGGUUUUCAAUUGUAUACAUCAAGGAAUGCCAUAAUGAGGACAUCUCCUGAGUAACUCUUUGAACUUUUCCCAUGCAUCAUACAAGCUCUCAUCUUCAAGUUGAUGGAAGGAUGUGAUCUCAUUUCUUAAUUUUGUACUCUUGGUUGGUGGAAAGUAUUUCAUCAAACAUUUGUUAGCCAAGUCAUUCCAUAUGGUGAUGGAAUCAGGUUGUAGGGAGUUCAACCAUGCUCUUGCUCGAUCCCUUAAAGAAAACGAGAAAAUUCUGCGGCUUAAUGCUUUAUGUGAUGCUCUAGUAAUCUUAAAAGCAUCACUUACUUCAAAAAACAACUUAAAGCAUAGGUGAGGAUCUUCUAAUGGCAGUCCAUUGAAUUGCCCCCCCACUAUCUAUAGCAUCUGAAACAUCACUAGUUUGAGCUCAAAAUUAUCAGCUUGCACUUCAGGUCUAACUAUUCCAGAAUUUAUGGCUUGAGGGGUCAGCACUGCAUAAUCUCUAGUGGCUUUAUCUCUAUCAUCUGCCAUAUGAAUAAUAUUAUUAUUCUCUGGUUGCCCAUAAAUAAUCUACCCAUUCUAACAUUCUUGACCUCCUUGUGCAUUUACUGGUUCAAUUACUCUACGAGGGUUCAAAUUCCUCAUAUCUUGCAAAUCAUCCAUUGCUACAACAAUUUUUGAAUUUCUUUACUCUUUUCUCAAUCUCCUUGUAGUUCUUUCAAUUUUUGGAUCAAACUAAAAUUCAACAGUUCUAUAUUGUGUAUGCAAGGGUUCCUAGAUUACUCUUGUUAACAAAAUAAACAAAUUAAAAUUAAAUUAAAAAUUAGCACCGAUUAAGAUUAAUUUCAUAAAUCACAACGAACAAUCAAUACCCGACAAUGGUGCCAAAAAUUUGUAGGGUGAUUUUUAUUGCUAUGGGUGUCAAUGUGCAAGUGUAGACAACAAGUAAUAUACUGAUGACUAUUUAGAUCGUCUCUACAGGAAUUGAUGUUAUCAAAUUUGCUACAACAAUCCUAACAGUAUAAUUUCUAUUUAAAUUAAAGCAAAAUAAUUAAUGAGACGAAUAAACUAACUAAAUUAAAAUGAAUGUAACAAAUAGUUUUCAAUGAGAAAAAAAUCUCAAGCCAACCACCAGGACAAACUCAAUGGGAAUAGAGUAGUUAAGUAAUUAAACUCACUUAAUGGUGUUGACUGUUUCUCUAAUUUAGACCCUGUUGCUACAGUACCUACUACAGCACUGGGCAGAAUCCCUUAUGCAUCCUCAGCUAUCGCCUGUUAGAUAUCUUAUAUCUAAAUGCAACUUAACAGUGACCAUUUGUUAUGCUAACAUCAUACAUAACAUUAUGCAUUGUAGGUUCCACUUACUCUACAAAGUGAAUCCUUAUGUCUAGUUCUUCUUAGAUCAAGCAUGGCCCUAUUCAAGUUAAGUAAAUCUCAACUUGAGAAAUCCAAUCUAAAAUCAAGUAUUGUCUUAAAUUGACCCACUAAGUUAGACAUUUUUUUAGGUUUUUUCUUAGCUAGUAUCCAUUAAAUGGGUGGUCAGCCCAAAUAGAGAAUUGCAAUAAAUAAAAUUAAGACAAAAUGCUAUAGCAAAUACAAAGCAACACACAUAUGUCAAUCAAACAUCCAUUAAGAUCGUUUCUCACUCAACCACAAUCAAAUUCAGUUCAUGAUUUGUGAUAGAAUAGUAAAUAAAUUGUUUUAACCAUUAAAUACAUCCUCAUCAAUAAAUAAAAACAAGAAAAUAAAAAAGAAGAACUGAGUUAUGCUUGGUUUUUGUAAUUUCUACUUUGUUUUCUCCUUGAGUCCUCUGUUAUAGCCCUCAAAUCUAUCUCUAAAUUUUUGUUUUCUUAUUGUUUUUCUUUGUAUUCUCCUUAACUAUAUUAUAAAAGAAUAGAAAAUAAAUUUGACUUGAAUUCACUCAGUUUUUUAUUUGAAUUAAAUUUAACUUGAAAGAAAGAUGAAUCAAGAGAUUUUUUGGUACGAUAUUGGAAUUUCAAGUACCUUUUCCCUCUCUUUUUAGCCUAGUCUAGACUCUAGAUGAAUCAAUAUCUUUUUGUUAUAAAGCAAUAAGAUUAUAAGAACUAGAAAUGUCAUUGUUGCAUAUCUUACAAAUAUGAAUGAUUUAGCAUUUAAAAAGCCCAAAAUUUUGUUUAAUAAAUCAUCAUUUUUUAUAAUUCAAAGGCUUUAUAAUUAUAUGUUAAGUUAUAGGUGCCAUAUUCCAAAAGGCACCAAAUCAUAUCAUGUGCCCAUCCUAUCAGAUAAAAGAAGGUAUUAAGGAAAAAUAACACUCAAGUUAUUUCGGGGUAAAUAACACCCAAGUUAUUCCGGGGGAAUAACACCUAAGGAAAAAUUCGUUCAAAGCUUAUAAAAAUGGCAAGAGGGGGGAAUUAGUUCCGCAAUCCUUUAGUCUAAGGAAAUCGCACCCAAAGGUCAUACAAUUAAGGAAAUACACAAGGUUGAAAUAUUUCCCUAGAUCAUAUUCACCUCCACGUGUACAAAAAUGAUGGGUGGCAUAUCAAAGCAAAACCCUAAAUCCACAUCAUUCAUCAUCUAUAAAUAGAGACCCAUCUCUAAGAGAAAGGAGGUUUUUGGCCUCCAAGAUCAUUGUUCAUCCUUAGAGAGAAAAAACUCAUUUUCUCCAUCUUUCUUCUUUAUUUAAUCUUGAUCAAACACUAACUUAGGCGUCGAAGUACCCUUUUCAAGUACUCACCCUUCCGGAAUCGAGGCCAACGAUUGUGACAAGUUCUCUACAAGCUACAAAUACGUGUAAAGGUAAAAAAUUCCAACACCUUCAUUGGAGCCGUCUAUGGGGAAACUAGGUUGAAAAUUUUUCUCUCACUAAAACCCACAUGAACACUACUUUACCAUCAUCUUUUUAGAUUAGAUCUGGUUGGGUGUAGUUGAAAAAGAGAUGAAUACUCAUAUAUGCUUAUGAAAAAUGGGUUUAUGUGUGACACUCAAACGUCAAACGUGCUUAAAAAGGCAUUAAAGCCAAAAAUCCAAGAGCAAAAAUGGAGAUCUCUCCUCCAAAUGCCUUACUGGAAAAAAAAAUAGAGAAAAUAAAGAAGAUGAAGGAGUCAUUUGGUCAACAUAAAACUUUGACCAAAAAUAAAAUGUCAACAAUAGUCAAAUGGGCUUAAAAUAGUCUCCAUGGCUAAACCUAAGACUAAUUUAUCAUUCAUUUUAUUUUCUCUUCAUUUUCCUUUUAUUAUGCUCAUUCCUAGCAACUAUGCUAACUUAUUUACGUUCCUGCCAUUCUAUUUAUUCUAUGAUACUUCUUUCUUUUUCCACGAGUGAGGCUAAGAAAAACCUAAGCAUCUACCUUACCAAGGGGAAUAUAUGAAGGGUAUUAAACGGACGUGGAUCAACAUAACUCUAUGUUUUAAUCUAACAAUUAUAAUAUUUUUUACUUUACUUGACUUACAAACGUGUGAGGCUAAGGAAAACCCAAAUAUUGACCUCCCGAUGGGAAAUAGAUAAAUGGGUAUUAUACCGACAUGGAUUAACUUAAUUUUCCUGACAUAAUAUGCAACUAAUAAUUAUCUUUACGCAUCUAACCUUUACAAUUACGUAUUUACUCUUCAGUUAUUUGCAAAUUUCAUAAUGUUAGAUGCUGAUUCUGGAAGGAAGUAGAAACUAUGGAAAACCAAAAAUUAAAUGCAAAAUUACCUGCAUUGGAGCAACAGUUAAAAGAGUAGCCUCGGAAAAGCUAAAAACAAGCAGAGAGACAAAUUGGUCACCAAAAGAGAGGGUCGGAACCCACAUAGAAUAAGCCCAAAAACAAAUAUAAUGAGCUGAUAGUGAUGAGGAACGAAGGUUCCAAAGAUGCCUAUGGAAGGGAACUCAAAAGAUCCUAAAGGAGCUCUAAAAAAAAUUUUCAGAUGUCAUCCACACCAGAUGAUGCAUGCUCUUAAGCAACAGCCAAAAGAGUAGCCCGGAAAAGCUAAAAAGAAACAAAGUGGUAAAUUGCUCACCAAAAGAGAUGGUCCAAAUUCACACAAAAUAAACAUAAAAAGGCACAUAAGGAACUGAUAGUGAUGAGGAACAAAGGUUCCAAAAAUGCCUACAGCAAAAAAUUCAAAAGAUCCUAAGAAGAAUCUAGAAAAAAUUUCCAGGUGGCUUCUACAGCAAAUGAUGCCAUUGUAGCAGCCCUAUUAGGAAAAAGUUAAAGUUCAUUUGAAUGACAUUCUAGACUAAUCUAAAUGAUUAUUUAGAUUGAUAUCUUGUAAAAGAGGAACAUUCUGUUUUAGCUCUUACAACUCUUGAAAAUAUUGAUCGAAUUGACAUUGUGCAACUCAUUUACUCGGGCAAUUGAUCACAAAAUGUAAAAACUAUUCCAUAGUCUCAAAAAACUCAUGCACUGCACUAAUGAGCAUUCGCAUGCAUAAACAUUCAUAUCUAUGCAUCUCACAGGAAUCCACAUUCAUCGUUGACUUAUGAGCGCUCAUGAUCAUCUCAUACAUUAUCAUAUAUGCUUCCAAAAAUCUCAAAAUUCAUUUUACAACCGACCAAAUUGCCUAUGGAAAUUUCUCAUUUCUUGGUACAACUUUAGUAUAUGAAAAAGUUCAAGGAACAAGGAAUUUUCCCUUUUAUGUCAAGAGAAAAGUAACAAAAAAUAUUCCCUCCUACGUCGAGGGAAAAUUAGAUUUCUAGAUCAAAAAACAAGAAAUAUUUCCUCCUACGUCAAGGGAAAAGGUGAAAGAACAAAAAAAAUUGGAAAAGCUGAAAGAAAAAAAAAAUUCCCUCAUACACCAAGGGAAAAGUAGAUUUCCUCCUAGAAUUUCAGUUCAAGGGAAAAGUUUUAGAAACAAUUAAUAUUCCUCUAUUAUAUUACAGGGAAAGUAGAUUUCCUCAUAGAACCUUAAUUCAAGGGAAAUAUCUAAGAACAAUUAAUAUUCCCUCUUAUGUUAAGGAAGAACAAUUAGUAUAUUUCCACAAAAAAAUUCCAGUUUAGGAGAAAAUUUCCCUAAUAAAAUUAUUCGAAACAACUUAUUUUUCCCAAGGCUAAUGUAAAGGAAAAACAUCCCUGAGCCAAUAAGAAGAAAAAUUUCCUUAAUGAAAGUCGUCCGCAAUAAAUCAUAUUUCCUAGGCUAACAAAGUGGAAAAAUAUUCCCAAGGCCAACACGCCCUCUUCAUUUCACCCAAACAAAAAUUGAUCGUGCAUAUCAGCCCAUAUAAAUCAACUAAGGUUCAGUUACCAACCAAAUGUUCCAUCCAACCAUAACAACAUAAUACCACACCUGACAAUUAUACAAGACACUAGAUUAAACAAAACUGAAGUACUACAUCCAGCCCUUGCUUGCCAAACGGAAAGCUUCUGAAGGGAUAGAACUGUUCAACUAGUUGAACAAAGUACUACAUAUGGGCGAUACAAACUUCUAAAGGUUUCGUUGCAAAAACUUUAUCAUUCUAUCAAAGAUAGAGGGUUGUUGUACCCCUACUACCUUUCAUCGGAAAAGAUCACAAGUGAGAUAGUAGCAGAUUCUAUUAAUUCCAUGCUGCCCAUGGGCAUACCACAUCAUUAUGUUGUGGUGUGAAAAAUCAAUUAGAAGAUUUAAUAAGAAAUCGUUACCUAAAUGAAUAUAUUGAUAAGAUUUAAUAAGAAACCGUUACCUAAAUGAAUAUGUUGAUGACUCUUUUCUCUUGGUAGAUCAAUCGUACAUACCAAAGGAGGCAGGUAUAGUAAACCUAAUAAGAGAAGAACCAACAACUAGAGUUAUCGCAAGAGGCCCCACACUAGCAGGAGGUUUCAAUAGGCCUGCAAAAAUUAUGGGAAAUAUACUAUGCCCAACCACAAUGUCCUUUUUAAUAAGCCUUUACCAGAGCUCACAAAAACUAGCCAAGUAACAUUUAUGUGGACCGAAGAUGACAAAGAAGAAGUGUUGUACCCUAAUGCAUAUGCACUAGUUAUUAAGGCAAAUGUAGCAAGCAAGGAGCAUAAUAAAAUUCUAGUAGAGUUAGGCAGUUUAGUUGACAUUUUUUUAAGCCAGUUUAGAUCAGAUGGGAACAACGGAUUUGAAGUUAAAGCCCAUCAAUACCUCAUUAAAAGGGUUUGGAGGAGGAAAUUGAUGUUAAUAGGAGUUAUGGACCUACCGAUCACUGUUAGGAUGAAACCUUUUGGAAAUAAAAUGAUGUUGACUUUAUAUAUAUAUAGGAAAAUAGUUCUUACUAGACCUACUAGAUAAUACUUAAGAGAACUUUUUUGAGAAUUAAUAAGUCUGUAAUGUCCACCUACUAUUUGAUACUUAAAUAUUGAAUAAAAUGGUAUGAUAAGGUAAGGUGACUAGAGGGUGGUGAAGAGCUGUUACGAAUCAGCGGCCAAUGAGACAAUAUAGAUCACAUCCUUUGACACGCGAGGAGAGUCUAAGAAAGGCAAACAAAAACCAAUGGAGACCCUAAUAAUGAUGAAAUCAAAUAAGCUUGAAAACCAUUAAGAUAGGAUCCAAGUUGGAGAGUGAAUUGAAAACUAGAUUACAAGAAUUUAUGUGGCAACGCUCUGAUGUGUUCGCCAAGAUGAUAAAAGAUCUUUCAAUCAAAAGAGAUACGAUGUUAUUAGUGUGGAGGUAGACAAGCUCUUGCAUGUUGGCUUUAUUAGAGAAGUAAGUAACCUUGAUUGGAUAUUUAAUACGGUGCUGGUGAAAAAGGCCAACGAUAAAUGGAGAAUAUGUGUAGAUUUCACAGACUUUAAUAAGGCAUGCCCAAAGAACAAUUUCCCAUUACCAAAAAUUGAUCAGUUGUUCAUCUCCACAUCAGAACACGACCUCCUCAGUUUUAUAGAUGGAUUUUCAAGAUACAAUUAGAUUCUCAUUUUCAAGUUGGAUAAGGAGCAUAAUGACUUUAUUAUUAAUCAAGGACUUUACAGUUACAAAGUAAUGCCCUUUGGCUUGAAAAACAAUAGAGCAAUAGACGAGAGGCUACUUAACAACAUCUUUAAGCCCUUGAUAGGUAGCUCAAUGGAAGUAUAUAUGGACAACAUGAUUAUCAAGUCUAAGGAUCUUACCGAUCACAUGUAGCAUCUAGAGGAGAACUUUAGCCUAUUAAGGAAAUACCAGAUGAAGUUAAAUCUAAAACAGUGUGUGUUUGGAGCAAGCAUCAGGAAAUUCUUAGGGUUCACCAGAAGCCACAAAAGAAUAGAAGCUAAUCCUGAGAAAAUUCGUGUUAUUUUAGAAAUAAGAUCGCCUCUCACAUUAAAAGAGAUACAGGUCUGAUAGGGAAUCUGGCAUCCCUAAAUAGAUUCAUCCUAAAGGCGGCAGACAAAUGUCAUAUUUUCUUCAAGAUCAUGAGAAAAUGAAACAAGACUGAAUAGACACUAGAGUGCAAGGAGGCUUUAGAGUAGUUAAAGGAUUACUUGAGUAGAGCACCAUUAUUGUCAAGUCCGCGAGCAAGGGACAGAUUGUAUAUUUACCUAGUAGUCUCCAGAUGGGCUUCCCGUUCAAUGCUAAUAAGGGAGGAAGCAGAAGCACAACACCCAGUUUAUUAUACUAGUGAAGCCUUCCUUGAUGUAAAGACUCGGUACCAACCAGUAGAGAAAUACGCCUUGGCAUUGAUGGCCCUUGUUCGAAAGCUAAGACCUUACUUUCAAGCAUACCCAAUUGAGGUUCUGACAAACUUGUCAUUGCGUCAAACCCUACACAAGCUCGAAGCCUCAAAGCGUUUAGUAAAGCGGUCAGUGGAAUUGAACGAGUAUGAUAUCAGCUAUAGACUGUGAGCAACAAUAAAGGUAUAAACACUAGUAGAUUUUGUAGUAAAGUGGUCAGAGCAACAUCAAAAAGCCCUUAUAGUUAAAGGCAAUGAGGAGCCAAAGAAGCUACCAGAAGAUACGAGCAGGAAUUGGUUGGUAUUAGCAAAUUAGUACUCUCGAGUUUGUGGAGCUGGAGCAAGGAUAGUCUUAUACAACCCUAAAGGCAAGAAAGUUUUUUAUGCUAUAAAACUCGAAUUAAAGGCGACCAACAAUAAAGCAAAAUAUGUAGCCUUCAUCAAUAGGUUGAAAUUAAAGCAUGCUUCACAAGACGAUAAAGUAAAAGUUAAAACAUAUUUCCAUCUAAUAGUGAAUCAUUUGAAUGGAAACUUUCUGGCAAAAGGGAGGGGAAAUAAAGGCAAACCUGAACAAAGCCAAGCAAAUGGCAACCAAAUUUCAACAACUCAUAAUAGAGCAUAUCUCGAGGGAAGAGCAUUACAAAGUAGACGUCCUUGUUAGGCUGCUAUCUCGGCACACUCUAAGAUCCCAAAAUACGUCCCGGUAGAGGCCAGGACUACACCAAGUGUCGAAGUCGAACUCGAGAUAAUGCAUGUUGAUAAAGGGGAAAGUUGGAUGGACCCAAUCAUUUCGUAUAUUCGAGAUGGGAAAUUGCUAGAAGACAAUAUCCAGCUACAGUACAAGGGGUGUAUCGUACCUUUCUUUUAUCUUUUUGUGCUACCAUCAUUAGAGCUGACACAAAAG